GCAGAGUUGACUGUUAUCCAAGUUCUAAAUCAAGGCUUUGAGGUUAGGUGGAUUCUGGAUCAAGUGCAAUGUGGAGAUUGUUUAAGGUCAGGUGGAAGAUGUGGAUAUAAUUGGACUGUGAAUCAAUUCAGUUGCUUCUGCCCUGACCAAGCUUAUUCCAGGACGUGUCCAAGCCCCAUGCCAUCAGGAAGCUUGUUGAAUCCUGGAGAAACUACUUCAGGUAAGUGUGCAUUUGACUCUUGAAUCUAGCUAUCAAGUUGGCUCCUAGGUACUAAUUAUAGGAAGUGA
This 288-nucleotide unclassified non-coding RNA is filed under the name Hevea brasiliensis (rubber tree). Lineage: Eukaryota; Viridiplantae; Streptophyta; Magnoliopsida; Malpighiales; Euphorbiaceae. The record is from RNAcentral.